AACGAACGCUGGCGGCAUGCCUAACACAUGCAAGUCGAACGAGACCUUCGGGUCUAGUGGCGCACGGGUGCGUAACGCGUGGGAACCUGCCCUUAGGUACGGAAUAACUCCCCUAAGGGGGUCCUAAUACCGGUUAAGCUCUUCGGACCAAAGAGUUAUCGCCUUUGGGUGGGCCCUCGUUGGAUUCGCUAGUUGGUAGGGUAAAAGCAUACCAAGGGGACGAUCCAUAGCUGGUCUGAGAGGAUGAUCAGCCACACUGGGACUGAGACACGGCCCAGACUCCUACGGGAGGCAGCAGUGGGGAAUAUUGGACAAUGGGCGAAAGCCUGAUCCAGCAAUGCCGCGUGAGUGAUGAAGGCCUUAGGGUUGUAAAGCUCUUUUACCCGGGAUGAUAAUGACAGUACCGGGAGAAUAAGCUCCGGCUAACUACGUG
RNAcentral lists this ribosomal RNA (433 nucleotides) under uncultured bacterium. Its description in RNAcentral is "partial 16S ribosomal RNA". It matches the Rfam family "Bacterial small subunit ribosomal RNA", at positions 29 to 507 of the family's 1533-position model. The record is from RNAcentral.